Molecule: ribosomal RNA, 253 nt
Filed under: uncultured bacterium
Lineage: Bacteria
Description: partial 16S ribosomal RNA
Rfam family: Archaeal small subunit ribosomal RNA
Source: RNAcentral
UACCAGCACCCCGAGUGGUCGGGACGAUUAUUGGGCCUAAAGCAUCCGUAGCCGGUUCUACAAGUCUUCCGUUAAAUCCACCUGCUCAACAGAUGGGCUGCGGAGGAUACUAUAGAGCUAGGAGGCGGGAGAGGCAAGCGGUACUUAGUGGGUAGGGGUAAAAUCCGUUGAUCCAUUGAAGACCACCAGUGGCGAAGGCGGCUUGCCAGAACGCACUCGACGGUGAGGGAUGAAAGCUGGAGGAGCAAACCGG